RNAcentral lists this unclassified non-coding RNA (332 nucleotides) under soil metagenome. Its description in RNAcentral is "partial contains 5.8S ribosomal RNA, internal transcribed spacer 2, and large subunit ribosomal RNA". The stretch from base 1 to 120 matches the Rfam family "5.8S ribosomal RNA", at positions 35 to 154 of the family's 154-position model. The record is from RNAcentral.
GAUGAAGAACGGAGCGAAAUGCGAUAAGUAGUGUGAAUUGCAGAAUUCAGUGAAUCAUCGAAUCUUUGAACGCACAUUGCGCCCUUUGGUAUUCCUUAGGGCAUGCCUGUUCGAGCGUCAUUUAAACCUUCAAGCUCAGCUUGGUGUUGGGUGACUGUCCGCUUCACCGCGGACUCGCCUCAAAAUUAUUGGCGGCCGGUACAUUGGCUUCGAGCGCAGCAGAAACGCGAACUCGGGCCCGUCGUAUUGGCUCCCAGAAGCUAUCUUCACAAUUUUGACCUCGGAUCAGGUAGGGAUACCCGCUGAACUUAAGCAUAUCAAUAAGCGGAGGA